CAUUCCAUUAAUUUCAAUUUGAUGCAGGUAAUACACGACCAACUACAAGUCUCUCUCUCUCUCUCUCUCUCUCUCUCUCUCUCUCUCUUUCUCUAUCUCUCUCUCUACCCCCUACUGUUCGACAACAACCUAGGCACCCACCACCCCUCGUCUUCUCUCUGGUUCAUCACCGCCACCAAUAAAGCCCCAUUAUACCACAAGAUUAAAGAACGAAACAUUGGGUUUGUGUUUUUGAAUCCCAGGGCUGCUCAUGGUGUGAUGAUGAUGCGAAGAAGGGUGACAUCGGUCCGCCGAUUCACCCCUCCGACUUCUUACACCUGGCUUCAUUCAAUAAUUCUGGAAAUUAGGGGACAAAGAAAAUGGUAUUGCCUGGCUUUGUUUAUGGUGGUUCCAUAGGCGGACCUCCCCCCAUCCCCAUGCCAACUUAUCAGAACAGAGAAUAGCAGCAACAGGGGACUUCUGAGAGGUCAAAAAGAAUAGUUUGAGUCUAGAGCCUGAGUCUCUUUGUUAUGAGGAUGGAGAGUUAGAGCUGGUUUAUGGAGAGACGUGAGCAAAUAUUCAGAGGUUCCUGUGUCUGAUGAUGAUGGCACUCAUGCUUGUUAUUGGGUUUCCUCUAGCCAAAGACAUCUUAAAAGAAAAUGUUAGUGGCUUAAAAUGCAAUUUUUAUGGCUGCACUUUCAGUUCCUCCAUAUGAUCACCUGAAAAACCGCUUCUCAUUUGGAAAUUGAGCAUGACAAAGAACGCAAUUUGAGAAUGUAUCAUCUUAUUUGCUUUAAUAUCGAUGCAAAGCUCCAGACAAGAGAAGUGCUCUCCAGGUCAUCUCUUAUGGUAGGUCUGGUUUCUAAAGGGGUGAUGAUAUUUGUACCUCAAGAAGUGAAGGAUCUGUAUCAUCUUCUAGAAAAUGAAUUUCUUCCUUUGGAUUUAGCGUCAAAAUUACAGCCUUUGUUGACAAAGAUAGCAAAACUUUCAUUGAUGGAUUGAACUCAAGCUAAUUUUAUGAAAGAUAAUUACAGAAGGCUGCAGUAAGGACUAAGGAGGUGAAAAUCCUCAUGAACUUGAGCAUCGCCUUCCCAUUUUCCGCAAACCUGUUGGUGAUGACUACCUGGCCCUCGUAACAUUUGGUUGGUUUGGCUCUUUUUCGAAGUAACAUUUCUUUUACAUGAAAUUUAGGUGCUAAUUUUUAUAUAUUUCUAUCACUUAUAUCGAUUCAUAAAGGUGUUGUGUCAGUGGUAUCCAACAAUAAAUAUGGUGAACAGGUGAAGAUUAUGACGGGGAACAAUAAAUGGGCAACAUACUAUACUCCCAAUGUUGGUUUGAUUGCAAAAUUGGAUAGCUUAAUAAAGAAGUUGGCAACUACCAGUUUUUUUCUGAUUCAAGGUUCGAAAAGUUAGGUGGUGUUAUUUUGAUACUGUCCAAGUUUGGUUGAAAGUGCAUGUUUUGUGGAGGAUCAACUAUUGUUGCCCUUGUACACUAUGGCUUCCUUCUACAGAAGAGCUUGAUGAAUCGAUGUUAGAAGCUCUUGGAAUCCUUACACAAUGACUUCUCUCUUAACUAAUUCAUCAAGAUCUAAGCAUGACUUCUCUCUUAACUAAUGGUUUUGAAAUGGAAACCCAUAAACCUCAGUGUAGAAUGCAAGUAAUCGAAUCAUAGCUUGUUUAUGUGUUCUAUUUAGAUGUUCGUACAUUAGUAACACAAUUCAUUGAUUUAUAUUUCUUCUUUUGUGAUGUACAAUUUACCCAACUAUCAGAACUCUUAUAUCUAUACCGAAGUUCUUUGUGACCAUAGGAGUCAAUUUGGGCACUUUUCUUGAACUCGGGGAGCAUUCAGUUUUUAGGAUGUUGUUGUGACCCAAUAUCAGUUGCUGAGUUUUAGAAGUUCACAAAAUCCCUAAACAUACACAUGAUUGAAGUUAGCCCACCAUUAAAGAAGAUCCAAAAGCUUACUUUAAUAUGACUGAAGUACUUAUAUAUUGCCUGGGUUGAUUCAUGGGCAAUGUGAGGUUCUUCCUCCAUCUGUUGGUGAUCCUAGCAAUCUUGAUGCCAUGGGCCUCUUAGCUUCAAACAAAGGCAAACCCAUGGAAGCCAUUGUAGAACAAGUUGGUGAUGGAAGUUCACUUCUUGUUUAUCUGCUUCCAGAGUUUCAGUUUGUCCAAGUAUUUGUUGCUAGAAUCCACGUACCACAUGCAUCCUUUUCUGCAAAUAUUUUUUAAAUGAUAAAUAUCUAUUUAACAAUAUAUAUGUAUUUAAUUAAAGUUUAUUUUAUAAAAUUACAUAUUUUCAUUAUUAAUCAAUUUAAUUAUAUAUUUAAUUCUAAUUUAUCUAAUUGUUUACUAUGUAUAAUCAAUGGGGAGAAGCACAACACGAGAACCUACAAUACCAAAUGAGGUCUCAUCCGAAGAGACAAAUGGAGAAAAUAAUAAUUCAGUGUCAUGUGGGCCCUUAACAUCAGCCCAAAGAAUCAUAGCAUCAUCAGGCUUCAAUGAAGUGUCCCCUGAUCCUUUUCGGAGGGAAGCUAAACAUUUUACCGAGAUCCAUGUUCUAAACAGAGAUGUCCGGAUUGUUUUGGAGGGCGUUGACAAGUUUAGCAAUCUGAUUGGUUCUGUAUAUUAGUCUGAUGGAGAAUCAGCAAAGGAUCUGGCAAUGGAGCUUAUUGAAAACGUGCGCACAUUGAGAGAAAAGUAUCCGAAGCUUGAUAUAGAGCUUCCCGCUCUUGAAGAGUCUCCCCAAUACAAGCAAUCACCUUCAAACAUUGAGAAAGCGCAUACGCAAAUUAGUCUCCAACAAACUGAUCAAAAAAGUAAUUUGGAAAAGGUGCGGUCUUGCAAGUUUUUACCCUUAGUAUACCAAAUUGCUUCAAGGUUGGGCAGCUAAAAAGAUAGCCAGGGACCUAAUACUCUUCAGGAUUGUUCUGAAUUAUUAUGACCAUUUUGCCCUUAUAGAAAUUUUGACAUCAACAUACAUGGACACAUUUCUUUUAGUGUAGAUUUUGUCGAAGAGAAAUGACACCAAAGAAGAUAAGUAUCUCCUAUUUUUUGUAUAUAUACACUUUUUCUUCUUGUUUAAAAACUAUAUAGUUGUGAAAAUUGAAGGUUCACACACCGUUUAUGUAGGCAACCUUAGCCCUGAAGAAGUACUUUUUCUACAAAUGUUCCUUAAGGUAGUGGAGGGCCUUUAUGUAAUGUGAUGGAUCAACCUCUUUUAAAGUUUCAUCUACAUCUAGUUUUAUUCUUUAGACAUGCUUUUUGUAUUUGGUUUAAUAGCUGAGGAUCAUAAUCAAACCCAAGCCUUGUGUUGGUGUAGGGCCUUUAUGUAAUGCACAACAUGUUUCAGUGAUGGCAUGAAAGUGGUAUUAAGUGUUUGCAUUCUUAUUAUAUUAUACCCCUCACAUUUUCCCAAAUUACCCCUUCCUCUACACUGCUUUUUUUGUUUCUGUGUAUUUUGUGCAUCAGGUAAAGUUGAUGGAAGAAAGGUAUGAAGCCACUUGAUUUAAAUCUUGCAGCAUUAUCAGCAAGAUGCAAUAAAGACUUGGAGUUGAAUUUGGCUAAGUCAUUAUUGAGUGAGAUGGGCCAAUGUACAAUUGCUUAUCCAUAUAAUCAGCUGUUUGGAGCAUUAGUCGUAAAGAAUUAUGAAAGGCAAGAUGCAACUUUACUUAGUUGGAAUUUGAUAUACAUAGUAGAUUAGAUGAAAAUUUAUAUAUUGUAAGAAAUAGAAUUGUAUGAUAUUAAAUUUAUGCAAUGGAUUCUAUUUUUUGUC
Non-coding RNA from Lactuca sativa (garden lettuce), 3752 nucleotides. Lineage: Eukaryota; Viridiplantae; Streptophyta; Magnoliopsida; Asterales; Asteraceae. The record is from RefSeq and is a predicted model, not a curated record.